Podarcis lilfordi (Lilford's wall lizard) is the source of this 6938-nucleotide non-coding RNA. Lineage: Eukaryota; Metazoa; Chordata; Lepidosauria; Squamata; Lacertidae. The record is from the annotation of a GenBank genome assembly.
AGUUCAAUCCAAGUUCAUCAAAAUGAUCCUCAGAAAAUUCUUGCAGCAUUUGAAAUUCCUGUUGCUGUUCUGAAGUAUAAAAUAUACUUAAGAAGACUCAGAAAACAGCAACACACACACACACACACACACACACACACACACACACAUACACAAGUGGACAAUAAAUUGCUGAAUUUAAUUCCCAAAGUGUCUGAAGAGGAAAAGGCACAUGUAAGAGAGUGAACUUCAAGGUGAACUAGAAAUUAUUCAAGAUUCUGCCCCCAAAAUGAACUUAUUUUAGUUUACAUGACAGGAACUACUUUCAGGGGUAAUUCAGGAAUUUUUGAACUAAUUCAGUUAACUUUGUUGAACCAAACCAGUUCAUUCAAGGCACUAAGUGCAUGCAGUUAUGGACUAAUGGCAAAAUAUUAUGUGUGGGUUUGUUGUGUUGUGUGUGUGUUUUUUUUGGGGGGGGGGAGAUCAUUCAAGUUCAGAUCCAAGUAUAAUAGCUGUUCUUGCAAAAGCUGUAACUUUUAAUCUCUACAAUGAUUCGGAAGAUGUCUGUCUGUCCGUCUGUCUUUAAAUGAUCAUAUCAUAAGAGAAAUUAAGAUAAUUUCCUAGUAGAUGAAUUUAAUUUCACUUUACACUCAUGCCAUCCUGACAUAUAUUUUUUGUUUUACCUAAUCCUAAAAUAACAGCUAAAAUAAUAGCUAUAGUCAACUACUGAAUGUGCUCCACAGUUCCAACUGUACUAAUUUUUAUUACUGUUGUUUGAAAGAUUGACAUCUGUCCUUUCGACAACAUUUUGUAGCUAGUUAUUGAAUGUUGAUGUCUGGACAAAAGGACAAGAAGUCUUCCUACUAGCAUAUUUAAUUUUAAAAAUACAUGGGAAUAUAUUGCAUCUUGAGAUAUAUUGAUUGCAUGCAAUAGGAAUGAUACACUGUGUGAGGACAUUUCAUAAUCAGAUGUCAUUUGUGAAACCAUUGGUAAUCAGGGGCUGAUCAAUGACUACCUAUGAACUAUUUAGGUAGGUGAAAUAUGAGUACAACAACAACCUCCUCUACCAGUCCUAUUGGUUUUGGGGUGGUGUAAACGGUCGUAAAGAAUGGAAGAUGUUCUCUCAAACUUGUUGCAUUAUUGAAAUGUCAGUUAACAAGACACACAUAUGAUAACUUCCAUGGCAAUAUUUGUUGGUACAAUGAUUUCUUCAAUGAAAGCAACUGUAUCUGAUCAGCUUGGGAUGGAAAGUGAUGCAUUUUUGGUAGGUUAUCUAUGGUUUGUAUCCACAGUUCUUACCAAUAAAUUCUUGUUAUUCCACUUUUUACUCAUCAGGAUUCUGCUGUUGGUUCGUUGAACUUUUAAGUUACUCAUGAUCAAAUUAUACCACAAUGGCUUUUGUUCAAUAACUGCUCCAAACUGUUUGUUUUUGUGUCUGUUUUAAGGACCUUCCAGAUUGCAGCAUUAUUAUAACCACCAUGGUGAUCUGAUCUUGCAUGUAGACUAUUAUCCUAGCUGCAAUAAUUUAAGACAAUUGGAUUUGGGGAGGGAAGAUAGUGGAGAAAAAUACAAAGUAUUAUGUAAAUCUCCCACUUUUCACCAUCGAGGUCUCUAAGGACCUUGCAGGGAUUAAAAAUACAGUAUUUUUGGCAUCUAUCUUGUCUCAAGAAACAAUGGAUUGUGUGCCUGGGGGUGAAGUCAAGUUGCCGUGUUAGCACCAAAGUGACCUCCUUCAGGGUGCAAGCCUGGGUAAUGUGUAUGAAGGUCCUGGACUGCCCAGACGAAAUAAUCCCACUCUUGGUCUCAUUGGUGUGGUCCAAAGGAAAGCAGAGCAAUAUGUUUGAUACCAGCUUGGUUGCAGGUCUUGCUUGAAGAAGGCAUUCAAGGCAUCAUCCAACCGUCUUAGGGACUCCACUAUGGAUUUGUGUAGGGUUGAUAUCCUGCAGGGCAGCGGAAGUUUAGGAUCAGAGUUUUCCUUCUCCUAGAUGGGCUCCCUUCCCAGGUUGAUGAGCCCCAUCUGCCCCUCACUUCCCUCUACAGCACAUGCUGAAACCACCUUCUUGACCGUUGGGCCCAUUAUUGGUCUCAACCACUCAGACUGCUGGAGCCUGUCUUCACAUGCACUGGGUCGCACUGGGCAUGGAGCCUGGGGAGUGUUGCAGGGGGCAGCACAACUAUGAUGUAGAACGGAAGGCGAGAGGUAGAGGUGUGCUGAAUUUUAGUGUCACACAGGGCACAGCUAAAAUUUGAGACCUCAAGGUCUGCCACUGACAUAGAUCAGGAAUUAUAUCAGAACACAAAGGUACAAGGCUUACUAGUUCUAAGCUAUGACCUUGUCUCAGCACCCGAGCUUGGUCUUUAGACUGACUUGCUCUUUCAGACUGACUUUCGGUUUGACUUUUGCCCCCUGGUUCAUUUGAGAUUGCUGUCCCUGAUGACAAGAACUUUUUCAGGUGUGGGUCUGUGGAAUGCUCUCUCCAGUGAGUCCCACCUUGCACCUUCAUUGAUUUCUAUUUUUGGUUGUCAUUUCAUUAUUUGUUGAGAUUUACCUUUUCUCCUAGGCUUUCGUUGGACUGAACUGAUUUUGUUCUGUUGCUAGUGUGUUGCCAAAGCUUUCUGCUGCUUUCCCCCUUUUUUAAAGGGCGUGUUUAUGAAUUGCCGGUGUUUGUAUGAAAAUGUUGGUUUGUUUCAAUGGUAAACGGCGACUAACAAAUCCGAUGAAUAAAAAUAAUUUCUAAAGCCGAGAGAGAAUUCAGAGGGGUUUUGGCUCAGACCAUAAGAAAAUGCGUGUUGUUUCUGAACAGGAUUGGGGCUUAAUUUUUCCGAAUGCACCCUCCCCAAUCUAGAACACAGCCACAUUGCUGACACAUUUUUCACGGUAAGACAAUGAGAUGUUUGUGGGGGGGAAAUAAUUUCAUUUUGUUCUGCAUACUGGUUUUGACUCAAUGGUAGCAAAGUCGUUCUACAUCUUUUAAAAAACAAGCUCCCUUAUCCAAUGAGAUUGUGGGUGCAGAAGUGUUGUAUAUAGGCAGAUCUAGUCUGUUGUGGUUGCCCGUUGCAGGGAUAUGAGGACUUGGUAUAUUCAUUGUGAAUUCAGCGUACGUUGCCUUUGAGAGAGAGAGCGAAGUGACACAUCAUCAUUUGAAUGGGUCAAGCAUAUUCAGAUGAAGACGAAUGGCGCUUAUUUGAUUUCUUUAAAUCGGAAAUGAAAAAAGUGCUCCCUGGAGAAAUCAUGUUCUCCCUGACUUAGACGAUAGACCGAGGCAAGGCCUGCAGAUAAGAACAGGCAUUUGUCUUUCUUUCUUUUUUUAAAGAAUCUCUGAAGGACGGUCGAGACUGUCAGCUCGCUGACAUGUGCAUUAUCCAUGUCAUUUUAAACAAAGUGACCUGGAGAAAAGAGCACUCUGGCGUGACAUGAUAAUGGUCUGUUGGAUGACAGGUAAAGUACACGCCAUAAAGAGAGGCUGUGUGUUAUUCCUUUGUUUAACUGACAAGUCGGAGUUUCCUUUCAUUGAGACGGGCGGCGAUCUCUCAGAUCUUCCUUCUUCGGGGUGGGGGGUUUGGGGUAGCAUCAGAAAAUGACAGGAGUUGUUAGCAAUAACAAUAGGGGGGUCCUUCAAAACAGGACGUGGGCAGGUACCAGAGGCUGGCCUGAGCAGACUGUGGCUGAGGGACCAGGGGAUCAGAAAGGUGCAUUGCCAAGCCUUCCAACAGUACACCUGGGCCCCUGACCUCUAUCCUGACCACCUGUGUUGCCAUCAGAGAUGCUGCCCAGCCUGGCCAUUGUGGCUGGCUUCUUUGCCACCAGUUGCUCACUGCCUCUCACUCCUCACCCAGGCAUGAGUACCACUUGCUAUCUGCACGGAGCUAUUGCCAUGCCAUUGCACAAGAUGCAAUGUCCAACCAUGUUGAGAAAUAAUGUGAGGACAGGUGGGAGGGGGGCACACAGGAAGUUACCGUACACUAUAUUGAUUCAUCUAGCUCAGCCUUGCCUACACUGACUAGCAGUGCCUCUCUCCAGGAUUAUGGUGAGGGGGUCUGUCGUAGCCCUACCUGGGGAUGUUGGGGAUGGAGCCUGGGACCUCCUGCGUGCAAAACAUCAGCUCUGCCAAAGUGUUGUGGCUACUUUCUGCUGUUGGUCCCUCAUCUCCCGAGUAGUCAUCACCAGGGCUCCCUGUGGUCCAGCCUCUUGUCUGGUGUUUCUUACCUUUAUUUGGGAGAACUGUAUGGAGAGGACUACUGGUGCAAGGAUGGGGAUAAAAUUCAAGGCCAGCAUAGCAGUGUUAAGAAGGUUCUGCUCUUGAUACCAGGUGGGGUAAAGAGACAGAGGGGAUAUGUGGGGCUCACGGGCUUGAACGCCUGCUCAGUAGCUUUUAUACGCAUCACAUUCUCUCCAGAGGUGGUGGUACAUUCUGUUUCCUGACAUAUUUUCCCCUUAGCAACUCAUUGUCAUAGGUAUCGGUAACACGAGCCCCACUCUCCCCUCCCUCCCCACAAUGCAGGCACACACUGUUCCCUCCCUCCCCCCUUUUCUCUCCCUUUCUUUCUUUCUUUCUUUCUUUCUUUUUUUGGUGCCCAUUUUGUGUCGAAAAUUUGUAUUUACUUUGGGAAUGUAAUUUGUUCCUCAUGGAUAAUAUGACCCUUAGCGGCGCUGGAUCAUGGGUUAGUUGAAGUGAUAUUUUCCGCUAAUGGUAGUCGUACAUCAUUGCUGUCAGCUCGGGUUAGGAGGAAAGCACAUUACAGCUCCAUUUUACCUCUGCAGGCAUCGGGGAUUAUUUGCCAUGAGUGAGUGUGACAUGACCGCACUACAGAGUGCAUUAAAAUUUUACUAGCUUCUCCAGCAAGUUCCCUGACUCCUGCUGGCACUUCAGGCAGGCAUGCUGACGGAUACCUCCGAGGGCCUAACUGCCCACACCAAGGAGACUCAAUGUCAGCGGGAAAAACAGGCUCUGCUCCUUUCCCCCCUCUCCUUGUCAUUUUUACCCCUUCGGUGGCAAGGCCCUCCUCUGAUGUUAGGCUAAACUGUUAUGGAAGGCAGGCCGUGGCAGGAGUGUCUCGUAUCCAUUCGGAUGUAAGCACUGAUCUCUUCCCAAGUGAGGAAAGGCAAGUUAUUGGGCAGAGACUGAAUACAAGGCAAGGCAAAUCGAAGCAAGUCCUUGCUAUGAGAGUAGCAUGUGGUAGAAGGGGCAUCCAGUAUUGCAUGGGCAGACUAUCUCUCCACCUGUCGGCUUUCAAGUCUCUCUUUUAAGGUGCUGAUCACGGCAAGCAAUGAAUGCACACUCCAUUCACCUCCGCAGGCAAUCAUGGGAUGGUAGAGUUCGAAGGUACUGGAAGGGUCACCUAGUCCAACCCCCUGCAAUGCAGGAACCCCUGCUAAAUAAUCACUGACAGAUGGCCACCAACCUCUGCUUCUGUUUCAGCAUGCAGUUCUCUGGUCUCUCUGAAUUGUUAUCCUGAAUUGUUAUCCUAGGCACUGCUACUGCCUAGUUUUACACUUCCUCCAUUUAGAUUGACUGGAACAUACAUGUAUCCAGUCCGCUUGAUGGUAAAUGAAGUCACAAAUCACUAGACACAUACUGCUUUAGAUACCUCCUUCAUUUCAUUCUCCAUCUCAGUACAGUGGUACCUCAGUUCUCGAAUGUAAUCCAUGUUUGGGUUCCAAAAAAUGUUUGAAAACAGAAGCAGUUACUUCCGGGUUUUCGACUUUUGAGAACCGAAAUGUACGACAACAGAGUUACCUCGGCUCCAGAACACCUUGGGAGUUGGACGUUCCAGCUCCCAAAUGAUCAAAAACCAGAAGUGAGUGUUCUGGUUUUUGAACUUUUUUGGGGGGAGCCGAAUGUCCGGCAUGACUUCUGCCAUUGUGUACGGUGUGCCUGCGCAAUCAGGAAGGUGCGCCUUGGUUUCCGAAUUUUUCGGAAGUCGAAUGGAUUUCCAGAACGGAUUCCAUUCGACUUCCGAGGUACGUCAUAUUGGACCUUUGGGGCAUGGGCAGUGAAAGUACAUCUCCAGGACUGAAUUAAUUUUGGGGCCUGUUUCAACUACCAGUAAUGAUUCUGUUUCAGUACAGAAAUCUGAUCCCUUUUGGUUUUCUAACUUGUUUUACUUCUCUUCAACGCUAUCCUCAAGACAUCCUCCCUGUCCUUCUUAUACAGUUGGAGUGACUAAUCCUUAAAAGUCUUAAGGGGUCCUAUAUAUGACAGCCCCCCCUGCAAAUAUUCUACUGAAUGUGCACACAUUUCUCCCAGGCAGUGGCAUAGUGCAGAGAGCACCCAGCCACUUCUGUCACUGGGCUCCAUUGAAAUUGGCUUCACGAGUGCGAACCAGGAAGUGACCUCUACAGACAAUGGAAUGACUUUUCUGUUCUUAUCUAUGCAGCUGUGAUCUCCUGGGUGACGCGGGCACUGUUAGGCAGUUAAAUGUGCAUAUGUAUUCUGUCCAUUUCCCUUCCCUACCCACCCCACCCCUCCACGUGGCCCUGGGCACUGGCAACUCCUGCUAUGCCACUGUCCCCAGGCAUAUUUAUUCACCAUGCUUAAGUCAUUCCAUGGCUUCCAUCCCACCCUCCAGCUGCCUCUAUAAGCUCAGGCUGAAAAGGACAUCCUUAGCCCUGGUUAAAUAAGGAUUCCUACAGUUUCAGUGACUAUCUGGAUUGUCACCAGAGGAACAUAGUAAGCUUUCUCUCCCUCACUACUGAUCAGAAAUAUUUGACUCUGUGAUUAAGCACAGUUAUUUGCACUUAGAACAAUUCAGAAGGAAGAAAAGGUUGAAGAUUAUCAGAAAUUUGACUUUGUUUUUCUUAGCAUGGGAAAGAAUUGAGGGUUUGGGGAGACUGCAGAGAUUGUCUUAAGAACCUGGCCCAAAUGUUCGGGUUAUUGAGAUUCUUUGCUCUUGUUCAACAGCAUUCAUAAACAACUCAAUAUUUUGAAAGUCUCUAAGCAGUAUGCAACAUAAACACG